Halichondria panicea is the source of this 74-nucleotide non-coding RNA. Lineage: Eukaryota; Metazoa; Porifera; Demospongiae; Suberitida; Halichondriidae. The record is from the annotation of a RefSeq genome assembly.
GGCCCUGUGGCUUAGUUGGUUAAAGCACCUGUCUAGUAAACAGGAGAUCACCGGUUCAAAUCCGGUCAGGGCCU